UCUGUGCGAAGGUAGCAUAAUCAUUAGUUCUUUAAUUGUGAUCUGGUAUGAAUGGCUUGACGAGAUAUGAGCUGUCUUAGGUGUGGUGAAUAGUUAGUUGAAUUUGGUUUUUGAGUUAAAAUUCUUAGAUGUUUUUAUGGGACGAGAAGACCCUAUAGAGUUUAACAUUUGACUUAUUUGUUUAGCUGUUUGUUUUGUAUUUGGUUGAUUAAUUUAAGUGUUUUGUUGGGGUGAUGGGAGGAAUUUAUUUAACUCCUCUUUAUUUUUUAUAUUUAUAUAUAAUUUGUUUUGAUCCAUUUAUUUUGAUUAUAAGAUUAAAUUACCUUAGGGAUAAACAGCGUUAUCUUCCCUUGGAGAAGGUUCUU
RNAcentral lists this ribosomal RNA (365 nucleotides) under Eurytermes sp. RKA 177. RNAcentral describes it as "partial large subunit ribosomal RNA". The record is from RNAcentral. Lineage: Eukaryota; Metazoa; Arthropoda; Insecta; Blattodea; Termitidae.